RNAcentral lists this long non-coding RNA (1226 nucleotides) under Podarcis muralis (Common wall lizard). Its description in RNAcentral is "lncRNA (ENSPMRG00000003566.1)". Lineage: Eukaryota; Metazoa; Chordata; Lepidosauria; Squamata; Lacertidae. The record is from RNAcentral.
UUCUCCUGUAGGCCAAUCAGGUUGCGGAUUCACUUUCACCUGGAGCUGGAUUGGGUGGCUUCUGCGGACCAGUCAUACUGCUGUAUUGUUCUAGGACCAAUCAGACUGCUGCAUUCUGGACCCUAUUGUUCUAGGACCAAUCAGACUGCUGCAUUCUGAAUCCUAUUGUUCUAGCACCAAUCAGACUGCUGCCUUUUGGAUCCUAUUCAACUCAGUACAUAACACUGAACAACUCUGGCUCCCCCCAAAAAGCUCAACAACUCUGGCCCCCCCCUCAAAAAUAUGAAAUAAAGUCAAACCAUUUUUGCAGGCAAAAAAUAAUAAUAAUUUCAAUGGGGGGUGGUGACAAGAAAUUUUCCGCACUGGGUACCACCUGACCUUGCUAUGCCACUGAGAGUGGGGCUGCUCUUUCUAAGAUUCCUGCAUUGCAGUGGGUUGGACUAGAUGACCCCAGGGCCCUUCCAACUCUGCAGUUCUGUGAUUCUGAGCGGGGACAUUUCUCCACCUCACCCUCUGUUCCCCUUGCCACUAUCCUUAGGGGUGUUUGAGCAGGAUCUGUGCAUCUGGCCUUCCUAGGAACUCUACUCUCAACAUAUAAUUAUAAACAAAUCACUGCACUGCAGAGCCAAACUUCAGACUUUGCCCUUUGAAAAGGUGAGCUUUCAGAAAACCCCUGUCAUGGCUAGCAGCAUUGGAAAAUAGAGGCCUUGGCUUUUCAGCAUUUGUUCCUCUCUGCUCGUUCCCCCGCUCCCCGGCACACCUCCUCAAAACCGAGCCAAAUUGCUUUAGUUUUCCUUGUUAUUUCCAUGUGCUCAUUAGAGAAGAGCCAUUAGAGUGUGUGAGAACAGAAUGUCUCCUGAGCUGCGGAGGGGAAGUGAAGGCCAAAUAUUGGACCCGUUUCAAGCUCCGAAACAAUACCACCGUCCGACCGGAGAGCUGUGUAUAGCAUUAGAACAUUGUGUCCCAGAUCAGCACUUUUCUACCAGUGCAGUGAAAAUGCGUCCCUGCACAAAGUUCUUCCCUAGACGGUCACCUGCAGUUGCUUAUUCAGGUAUGUGGCCCAAAGUAAAGACAGCCAUUCUCAUUGGCUCCCAGAGUCACACUGUUACCUGUGACGUCUCCUGAUUGGGCUGUGACCUGAAUGGAUCAGAUGAUGAAGGGGCUGCUGGCUUGUCUAAUAACCUCCAAUGGCUCCCUCAAGAUGAUGGGCUUUUUGACCUGACGAG